This 312-nucleotide long non-coding RNA is filed under the name Vigna radiata. RNAcentral describes it as "long non-coding RNA (VRAD_LNC015312)". Lineage: Eukaryota; Viridiplantae; Streptophyta; Magnoliopsida; Fabales; Fabaceae. The record is from RNAcentral.
GGGGACAUACGAUACUGUCAUGAACUGGUGAGAAAUUCCUUCAUUAAGUAAUACCACCUAGGGAUAGGGGGGUAGGACGAUAAAUUGUUUUUGCUUCUGUUCUUAACGCGUUAUUAAUUGCUAGGGGAGGCUAGGGAUAACAAGCUAGUAAUUAGUAAUAAGCUCUUUUCGCCGAGGGAUCGGGUUAAGGGUAGAUGAUGGGUGUCGCCGCCCAAUCAAAUUUGAUUGCAUAAAGGAAUGCAGUAUAGUGCUAGGAAAGUGACCCCUAGGUCGUCUCUCAAGGACCAAAUGUGGUUCGAGAAUUAGGUCUCA